UACGUAGGGUGCGAGCGUUGCCCGGAUUUAUUGGGCGUAAAGGGCGCGUAGGCGGCCACGCACGUCCGUUGUGAAAUCGCCCGGCUCAACUGGGCGGGGUCAGCGGAUACGGUGUGGCUAGAGCAAGCUAGGGGGCAAUGGAAUUCCCGGUGUAGUGGUGGAAUGCGUAGAUAUCGAGAGGAACACCAGUGGCGAAGGCGGUUGCCUGGAGCUUUGCUGACGCUGAUGCGCGAAAGCGUGGGGAGCGAUCCGG
RNAcentral lists this ribosomal RNA (253 nucleotides) under uncultured bacterium. Its description in RNAcentral is "partial 16S ribosomal RNA". It matches the Rfam family "Bacterial small subunit ribosomal RNA", at positions 524 to 776 of the family's 1533-position model. The record is from RNAcentral.